Molecule: small nucleolar RNA, 226 nt
Filed under: Trichophyton rubrum BMU01672
Lineage: Eukaryota; Fungi; Ascomycota; Eurotiomycetes; Onygenales; Arthrodermataceae
Description: HACA-box snoRNA
Source: RNAcentral
GCUGAAGUGGUUUUACAGAUCAUUUCGGAUAUUGAGCGUGCUACAUAAAUAUCAAGGAGUAUGCCAACCAUUCUUUCGUGUCACUAUGGAAUCGAUAUAUCCUUCUUAAAUGCCAAAGUCAGCUUACUGAUAUCAGUUAUUUCAUACCAGCUAGAUUAAGUAUUUUAUGAAACCCUAGCUAUGACAUAAUGCGCUCAAACGCUGCACAUAUCAGUUUACCAAAAAC